GCUUGCUAAGCCUAAUUCGUUUGUGAAGAGUGCUAAUGAGGAUGGGCAUUUGCUUGUGUGGACAGGAUAAGACGGUGAUGGUUAGAAGAACCAAGAUGUCAUAGGGGCCGGACUGCUCAGUAUUGUUGAGGAAUGCCAACAGCAAGAAUUCUGCAGAACACAGAAAAUGUGAUUGUCUCCUUGGGUGAUAGCUCAAGGAGAAAUUGAAUUGGCCAUUCAGUCCCAGGUGAGCAGUGAGCCAGACCUUGAAAGUAUGACAUAUUUUAGGGUAGACUCAAGAAGAAAGGAACAUAACAAGCAAAUCUUCUCAAUAGGAGUUUAAAUAUUCAUGAUUUGCUUAUUAAAACAUUUUUAAAAUUGUGUCUCUGAGCAUCAGGUUCUUAAUAUGCAGAACAAAAGAGCAAAGUACUGAAAAC
Molecule: long non-coding RNA, 416 nt
Filed under: Bos grunniens (domestic yak)
Lineage: Eukaryota; Metazoa; Chordata; Mammalia; Artiodactyla; Bovidae
Description: lncRNA (ENSBGRG00000000388.1)
Source: RNAcentral